Molecule: small nucleolar RNA, 90 nt
Filed under: Ananas comosus (pineapple)
Lineage: Eukaryota; Viridiplantae; Streptophyta; Magnoliopsida; Poales; Bromeliaceae
Source: RNAcentral
GAUGGGCUGUGAAGAUCAAAAACAGCUUCAAAUGCCAGUUCUGCUUCAGAGAAUUCAUGAUUGAGGAAGCUGAAGAAUGCUGAGCCUUGU